Molecule: long non-coding RNA, 231 nt
Organism: Dreissena polymorpha
Lineage: Eukaryota; Metazoa; Mollusca; Bivalvia; Myida; Dreissenidae
Exons: 3
Source: RefSeq, a predicted model, not a curated record
AGUUUAUUUAAAUUUAUUGACCUAGGAUGAAGUGUCCUCAAAUGUGUCAAUCGCAUCUUGUGAGUGAUAUGUGACACGCGUGAUUCAAUCAUCACUGGAUAAUUCUAGGUUUACAUGACUACCAGUGUACGGUGGACAUCAGGACAGCUAGGCAGUCAAUAUGGAGUCAACAGUUCUCGAAUCUGUCAUGUAAAAAAGAGUCCAUAGGGGGUUCCCAGUUUGCCGUAUUUC